RNAcentral lists this ribosomal RNA (251 nucleotides) under uncultured prokaryote. RNAcentral's name for it is "partial 16S ribosomal RNA". It matches the Rfam family "Bacterial small subunit ribosomal RNA", at positions 602 to 775 of the family's 1533-position model. The record is from RNAcentral.
CCCGAGGGUGCCCUCUUUCCUCUUCUUUCCUGGUCUUCCCUCUCGCUUCUUCUUCUCCUUCCUUCCCCUUUUCCCUCCCCUCUCUUCCCUUGGGACUUUCCUUCGAUACUGGUUAGCUAGAGUGUGGGAGAGGAUGGUAGAAUUCCAGGUGUAGCGGUGAAAUGCGUAGAGAUCUGGAGGAAUACCGAUGGCGAAGGCAGCCAUCUGGCCUAACACCGACGCUGAGGUGCGAAAGCAUGGGGAGCAAACAG